CGGGUACUGCAAAUCAGGAAAGACAAUAUAUCUCCCGGGCCGUUUCUUCUAACUUGGGAGCUGUCUCUUUUGAGGUUGUGGCCUUAAUAUCGCGGCGCCCACCUACUUUAAAGUAGGCCAAGGUAGAAAUUAUGUUUUUCGGAUUUUGCGGUCCCGUG
Molecule: non-coding RNA, 158 nt
Filed under: Rhodospirillaceae bacterium
Lineage: Bacteria; Pseudomonadati; Pseudomonadota; Alphaproteobacteria; Rhodospirillales; Rhodospirillaceae
Also listed under: 1 other name
Description: 6S RNA
Rfam family: 6S / SsrS RNA
About the family: E. coli 6S RNA was the first non coding RNA to be sequenced, but its function was unknown until recently.
Source: RNAcentral